RNAcentral lists this ribosomal RNA (433 nucleotides) under uncultured bacterium. RNAcentral describes it as "partial 16S ribosomal RNA". It matches the Rfam family "Bacterial small subunit ribosomal RNA", at positions 29 to 507 of the family's 1533-position model. The record is from RNAcentral.
AACGAACGCUGGCGGCAUGCCUAACACAUGCAAGUCGAACGAGACGUUCGGGUUUCGUGUCGCACGUGCGCGUACCGCGGGGGAACCUGCCCUUAGGAUCGGAAUGACUCCCCGCACGGAGUUCGAAUAACGGCUAGUGUACUGGGUCCAAAGAUUUAUCGCCCUUGGGUGGGCCGGCGUUGGAUUAGCUCGUUGGUAGGGUAAAAGCCUACCAAGGCGCCGCUGCAGAGCUUGUCUGAGAGGAUGAGCAGCCACACUGGGACUGAGACACGGCCGAGACUCCUACGGGAGGCAGCAGUGGGGAAUAUUGGAGCAUGGGCGAAAGCCUGAGCAAGCAAUGCCGCGUGAGUGAUGAAGGCCUUAGGGUUGUAAAGCUCUUUUACCCGGGAGGAUAAUGACAGUACCGGGAGAAUAAGCACCGGCUAACUACGUG